This 451-nucleotide ribosomal RNA is filed under the name uncultured soil bacterium. RNAcentral describes it as "bacterial SSU rRNA". It matches the Rfam family "Bacterial small subunit ribosomal RNA", at positions 951 to 1384 of the family's 1533-position model. The record is from RNAcentral.
UAGUGAUUAACGCGAAGAACCUUACCCAGGCUUGAACUGCGAGUGACAUCCUACGAAAGUAGGCUUCCGCAAGGACGCUCGUAGAGGUGCUGCAUGGCUGUCGUCAGCUCGUGUCGUGAGAUGUUGGGUUAAGUCCCGCAACGAGCGCAACCCUUGUCCGCUGUUGCCAUCAGGUUACGCUGGGCACUCUGCGGAGACUGCCGGUGAUAAACCGGAGGAAGGUGGGGAUGACGUCAAGUCAGCAUGGCCUUUAUGUCUGGGGCUACACACGUGCUACAAUGGCCGGUACAAACCGUCGCGAUCUCGCAAGAGGGAGCUAAUCGGAGAAAACCGGUCUCAGUUCGGAUUGCAGGCUGCAACUCGCCUGCAUGAAGUUGGAAUCGCUAGUAAUCGCGGAUCAGCACGCCGCGGUGAAUACGUUCCCGGGCCUUGUCACACCGAAUCGAAUUCC